AUCCAACUGACGAGUUUCAAACAGGACGACACGCACUUCCUGGAU
Non-coding RNA from Schistosoma mattheei, 45 nucleotides. The record is from Rfam. Lineage: Eukaryota; Metazoa; Platyhelminthes; Trematoda; Strigeidida; Schistosomatidae.